AUGCGCAUUCCCCAAUUCCCAAUCCUAUCGCCACAACACGACGCGACGCACACUUCUCCACUCUCUGGAACUCUCGCCAUGCUUCCGGCUCUCGCCGCCGCCUCGCCGACGCUGCAAACCUCUCGCCCGGUCUCCCGCCUCCGGCGCAACCACCGACACCAUCACGGUGUUCAUCUUCACCUCCACCACCGCUUCCCUCCCUUAGCCGCCGACGGCGGGGGUCGCGGUCGCUUUCUCCUGGUCGGCACAUACGCCGCUUCUGAUGGUAGCGCAGGACAGGAUGUUGGUAGUCCCGAGAGCAUGGCAAAUUCAGGAUCUGCAUAUGUUGGUCUCUUUGUCCGAAUGCUUGGCUUGGAUAAUGACGCUCAUGAUAGGGAACAUGCUAUUUGCACACUCUGGCAUUACUCCCUUGGUGGACAGAAGUGCAUCGAUGAGAUAAUGCAGUUCCCAGGUUGCAUCAGCCUCAUCAUCAGCCUCCUAAAGUCAGAGUCUGCUUGUGCUUGUGAAGCAGCGGCAGGCCUUGUGCAUAAUAUAACUUCAGUGAAGUUAUACAGGGAUGUGGCAAUUGAGAGUGGAGCAAUGGAAGAAAUCUUUAGCUGUAUCCGUAAAUCCACGAUAACCCCAGAGAUAAAGGAGCAGUGUUUGUGUACCAUUUGGAACUUCUCUGUUGACGAAAAUUUGAGAUACAAGCUUUUGGGGAGUGAUAUGCUAAUACCAAUAGUUAGGUUCCUAGAUGAUGAAGACAUAAAAGUGAAAGAAGUUGCUGCUAGUAUCACAUCAUAUUUAACUUUAAGUCAUUCUUAUCAUGGAGCUCUGGUCGAAGCUGGUGUAAUUCCAAAACUGGUUCAUCUUCUGCAAACCAAAGACGAUGAUUAUAAAAGUAUCAGAAAGGAAGCUAGAAGGUCGCUCGUGGAACUAUCCACGGAUGAUAGUUACCAUGCCCUUAUAGUGGGUCAGGGUCUAGUCCGGAUUCCUCUGGUUGGCUCAUCCGCUUAUAAAGCCUUCAGACCUCAACCUCAUUCAUGGCCCUCUUUUCCUGAUGGCUCGGAAAUUCAACGGAGUUCUCGGCCUUCAAAAUAUGGUGCAACUGAAUUGCUUCUUGGCCUGAUUCUAAAUGAGAAGAAAGCAGAGCCAGAUGAAGCUAAAAUUAAUGCUAUGAUAGGGCGUUCUAAUCAGCAAUUUCUUGCACGCGUUGGAGCUAUUGAGUUUGAUUAUGAAGGGAAAGAACAAUCUGGAUCUCAAAGGAAUGAUCACCACACCAUCUUACCUUGGAUAGAUGGUGUUGCACGGCUAGUUUUAAUAAUUGGUCUCCAAGAUGUCUCUGCAAUUGCAAAGGCUGCUCAUGCAAUCGGUGAUGCAUCAGUAAAUGAACACAUGCGCACUUCAUUCAUGGAAGCUGGGGCUGUGAAAUCUUUACUUCAGUUGCUGAUGCAUAAUGAUGUACCUGUCAGAGAAGCGAGUGCUUAUGCAUUGGAAAAACUAAGUGUCAGUUCCGAAGUUUGUGAGAAGAUCAGAGUAGAAGAUGGCCGAGAGCUGCUUGUAAAUGUACUGAAGGAUUCAGAUACCCCAGUAGAACAAUUGGAGAAGAUAAUCCAUAUACUUUCUCGAAUACUUGAUAUGGAGGUCAGCAUGAUUACUGCGCCUGAUUACUAUGCUAGUACUGGGUCUGAGGAUAUAGCGGACGAUGAGAAGUGCAGUCAAGGUAAUGUAGAUGGUGAGCUCAAUGGAACGUCCCAAAAUUUAUUGAAACAAGACGAGUUGGAUAGUUGUAGCGAUUCAAUCUUUGACCUUGAUGUCAUCUCACGCUUAAUCAAAGUUCUUAAGAAUCAUCUCCAAGCCUGCAAGAAAAAUGUGCUACUCUCCUGGAGCAUUUAG
This 1875-nucleotide ribosomal RNA is filed under the name Triticum aestivum (bread wheat). RNAcentral describes it as "partial small subunit ribosomal RNA". The record is from RNAcentral. Lineage: Eukaryota; Viridiplantae; Streptophyta; Magnoliopsida; Poales; Poaceae.